Molecule: ribosomal RNA, 350 nt
Filed under: uncultured bacterium
Lineage: Bacteria
Description: bacterial SSU rRNA
Rfam family: Bacterial small subunit ribosomal RNA
Source: RNAcentral
CAGGGAAUAUUGGACAAUGGGCGAAAGCCUGAUCCAGCAACGCCGCGUGAAUGAUGAAGGCCUUAGGGUUGUAAAAUUCUUUCGCUAGGGAAGAUAAUGACUGUACCUAGUAAAGAAGCCCCGGCUAACUCCGUGCCAGCAGCCGCGGUAAUACGGAGGGGGCUAGCGUUGUUCGGAAUUACUGGGCGUAAAGCGUGCGUAGGCGGACUGGAAAGUCAGAUGUGAAAUCCCGGGGCUCAACCCCGGAACUGCAUUUGAAACUGUUAGUCUAGAGUUCUGGAGAGGUAAGUGGAAUUCCUAGUGUAGAGGUGAAAUUCGUAGAUAUUAGGAGGAACACCAGAGGCGAAGGC